GCAUUAUGUCAUCAAAACCUUUUUACAUUAGACUGAGGCGGCAUUAGGGAUCCUUCAGAUGAUGAAAUUGUGAAAUCACCCCAUCGGAGCUUUACAAAGGUGGAGAUACUAAGGCCUAAAGUGAAAAACUUGGACAUAUCUAAGCUCCAAUGUAAGCUGAAGGACAUAUACUUUCCAUAUAUUCAGUGCGAUGAGUUGUCCGAGGGUGGUAAGACUGUUAUGCCUGUUGAGUUCCAGGUUAAUGGUGUUGAUUUAGCUGAAAUCCAAGGCGGCGAAGUUGCAAUCACCAACUUGCAUUCUUGCAAUGGUUCUGAAUUUACUGUAUCACUGCGCUUUUCCCUUAAAAAGGAGAAUUCUUCAUCCAAUGCUUCAGGUAGUUAUAAUUCUUGCUGAAAAUCAAGAGAAAUUUGGAAGUUGGAAGAAAAUAAAGAAGGCGAA
This is a long non-coding RNA of Hibiscus syriacus, 438 nucleotides long. RefSeq lists it as uncharacterized. NCBI's taxonomy places the organism in Eukaryota, Viridiplantae, Streptophyta, Magnoliopsida, Malvales, Malvaceae. The transcript has 4 exons. The record is from RefSeq and is a predicted model, not a curated record.